CUGACAGCUCUGGAGACUGAAGUCCUCUGUUUAUCUACAGAAUUGGCAUUGACAGAGCAAGGUUCUUUUAAUGUGCUCAAACUGGGCCCAAGAGAAAUGAGAAGAUGUUUCAGUGUCCAUUAUUAGGUGCCCAUGCUGUCCUCU
Molecule: small RNA, 144 nt
Filed under: Gopherus agassizii (Agassiz's desert tortoise)
Lineage: Eukaryota; Metazoa; Chordata; Testudines; Testudinidae
Description: TUC338 (ENSGAGG00000024557.1)
Source: RNAcentral